GGAAUAUUAUAUAAAUUUAUAUAGGAUUAUUUUUAUUUUAAUAUUUUGUUUUUGAAUCAAAGUGUAAAAAAUUAAUUAGAAUUAUAAUUUUUAUAAAAAAAAGAUUAAGUUAUUUAUUAAUAUUUAAAUAUAUUGUUUUUUUUUGUAAUAAUUUUAUGUUAAUUCAACUUUGGAUUUUCUG
This 181-nucleotide transfer RNA is filed under the name Pneumocystis jirovecii. RNAcentral's name for it is "tRNA-Pseudo(TTT)". Lineage: Eukaryota; Fungi; Ascomycota; Pneumocystomycetes; Pneumocystales; Pneumocystaceae. The record is from RNAcentral.